GCCAUUGUGGCAUAGUGGUUUGAGUGUUGUACUGGUACUCUGGAGAUCAGGGUUCGAUUCCCCCCUUGGGCA
Non-coding RNA from Phrynosoma platyrhinos (Desert horned lizard), 72 nucleotides. Lineage: Eukaryota; Metazoa; Chordata; Lepidosauria; Squamata; Phrynosomatidae. The record is from the annotation of a GenBank genome assembly.